Molecule: long non-coding RNA, 381 nt
Filed under: Trifolium pratense (red clover)
Lineage: Eukaryota; Viridiplantae; Streptophyta; Magnoliopsida; Fabales; Fabaceae
Description: long non-coding RNA (TPRA_LNC008360)
Source: RNAcentral
AGAACUUGUGAUUUUUGGGAUUGGGCACAUCCAUUAAACUUAAAUUCAUGUGAAAAUGGGACCAAAGUCUUAGAGGUUCAUAUGAAACUUGAACAAUUGAACUCAAACAUGGAGAAGGAACACAAGAAAUUCAGCAAGGUUUUAAAGGAUACUGGAGAUGAUGUCAAAGACAUAAAAAAUCUUUUGAGGUUUUUCAAGUUUAUUUCCAUUGUUAUUGUCUCUAUGUUGUUGCUAAUUUUUUGUUUCUUUAAGUAAUUUGUUGUAGUUUGUGUAAGAUGUUUCAGACACUUAUGUGCUCACUUUUUUAAGUUGUAAUGGUGUUGUAUUUCUUCAAUUUCUGCCGUAGUAACUGAUGUACUAAUUUGAGAAUUUGAAUCAUAC